Molecule: long non-coding RNA, 225 nt
Filed under: Gallus gallus (chicken)
Lineage: Eukaryota; Metazoa; Chordata; Aves; Galliformes; Phasianidae
Source: RNAcentral
CGGGGUUCUGCAUCUCCUCGGUGACGUAAUUCAGGGUGUCCCACCCUGCGUAGGAGAAGAGGGCUGAGUACAGAGCCAGCGCAAUCAUUCCUGGGUCUGUUGCUGAGCCCUCAAAGGGAGCUCUGAGGUUUUCUGUUUCUCCUUUACCAAUUUUGUAAAGGCCAACAGAUAUCACCACGACAAGGGCCACAAGUUUUGCAUAUGUGAAAAUAUCUUGUACACGAG